AAGACGCCAAACGGGGCAGCGAACACUGAUGCCGCGCGCCGCCAUGACGCCCGGGUGGCCUGACCGCCCGGUGACCAGCGACGUCAAAUAAAGGGUCGAAGCAUAGCGCUUCGGCCCUUUUACUUUGGGCGUGUGCCCUGCCCGUUACGCACCGAAGAUCGACCAGCCCAUCCGCUUGCUGAGGGUUUCCAAGGCGUCGCGGCCAAGCC
Molecule: unclassified non-coding RNA, 209 nt
Filed under: Hevea brasiliensis (rubber tree)
Lineage: Eukaryota; Viridiplantae; Streptophyta; Magnoliopsida; Malpighiales; Euphorbiaceae
Source: RNAcentral